Molecule: long non-coding RNA, 2952 nt
Organism: Corvus hawaiiensis (hawaiian crow)
Lineage: Eukaryota; Metazoa; Chordata; Aves; Passeriformes; Corvidae
Exons: 2
Source: RefSeq, a predicted model, not a curated record
UCCCCCCCCAGCAGAGGUGUUCCCACCCCAGCCCCUCCUGGCAGGGAACGUUUCCUGUUCCCCCUCAGCUCCAAACCCCUCACACCAACAAAAGGAGCCCUGAAAGUCCUUAAAAUCCCCUUUCCAUUUUGGAACAAUUAAUGUCACCUGGUUUAAAUAAAUCCCUUAAUUAGGAAUUAUCCUUUUUCCCAUCGGCCUUGGCACAGCCUGGGGUUGGAGGUUGAGUGAGCGCUGCACAUUUUUCAUCUCCAAGCGCGUUUGGAGGACGCUGGGUGAGCUCGUGUCCUCCCUGAUUAUGCACAGGGCUGGGAUUUGCAUAGAGAAGUCAAAUUUAAUUCCUUUUUUCUUUUUUUGGGAAGGUUUCCUGGCGGAAUGGAAUUGCACAGACAGCACUGAAGGACUUGGGAAGGAGAGGAGAGAAAGUGAAACAGGACUGGGAGAGGCGGGGCUGCCUCAGGCCAUCCCGGCAGCGCAGAGUGAGCGCCCCACCACACCCAGAAUUUUGGGGGACGUGGGAUUUGAAGGGAAUGUUAAGAAGGGAUGAAGGCUCAGGAAAUGAAGUGGGAAUGUGCAGUUCCUGCCUCGCUGUUGGACAGGAGCUGGGCUGAGCCUGCAGCUCUGGAUGCGGAUUCUGGAUCCGAGUUUGAGAUGUUCUGGAUCCGGGUUUGAGAUGUUCUGGAUCCGAAUUUGAAAUGUUCUGGACCCGAAUUUGAGAUGUUCUGGAUCCAAAUUUGAGAUGUUCUGGAUCUGAAUUUGAGAUGUUCUGGAUGUGAAUUUGAGAUGUUCUGGAGCCGAGUUUGAGAUGUUCUGGAUCCGAGUUUGAGAUGUUCUGGACCCGAAUUUGAGGUGUUCUGGAUCCAAAUUCGAGAUGUUCUGGAUCCGAAUUUGAGAUGUUCUGGACCCGAAUUCGAGAUGUUCUGGAGCUGAAUCUGGAUUUGAGGGCUUGGCCCUGUGCGGAAACUCCAUCUGAACUCCUUCAGAACCCCAUAAAAAAGGUGGGAAUGUUCUAUCCAGUGCUCCAAAGGUUUAUCCCAACCAGUUCUCUCCACAUGAGCCAUCAGACAGCACAGCUGACAGGAACGGGUUGUGCUGGAGCUGGAGCCCUUUGCAAUCCCUCAGUCCCACGACAUUCCCGGGUGAACAGGACAUGGAAAUGUUCCUUUUCCUCAUCUUCAAUAAAUAUAAAUAAUUAAAGCCUGGCUUUGACUGAAGCUCGUUCUGCUUUAAAAGCUGCUCUUUGCUCCCAUUUUGUUUUUUCCUGGUGAGCUUCCCAAAAACCAGCAAAGCUGAGACAGGAGGAUUUGGGAAUCAGCAGAGUGUUUGGAGAACAUUCCAGAAGUAAGGCAGAAUCUGCUAAUUAGUGCUGUAUGCACAGGGAGUUGGAUGCUCUUGGCUCUUCCCACUGGAGCACACCUGGAACUUUUGGAGGCUCAACAGCAUUUCCUUUCCACUGGAUGUGAUAUUUCCCAUCCCGAUUCUGCCUGAGGACGUUCAUAUCCACGAGAAAACCUCUCCUUUGCUCCCCGCAGUGGGGUUUACGUGGAUUUCUCAUGCCUGAACUCAUCCACCUUUCCCUACAACCUCAUGGCAGGAGUUUCACAUCCUGCUUCUGUCCAGGGACGUUCAUAUCCAUGGACAAAUCUCUCCUUUGCUCCCCUAAAGUGGUUUUAAUGUGGAUUUCUCCUCCCUGAACUCAUCCACCCUUCCCUACGAACUCAAGGAGAAGCCUCUCCUUUUCUCCCCUAAUGUGGAUUUUAUGAGGAUUUAUCUUCUCUGAACUUGUCCAUCCUUCCCUACAAACUCCUGGCAUCCUCUGGAAGGAGUUUCCCAUCCCGAUUCUGCCUGAGGACGUUCAUAACCAUGAGAAAACCUCUCCUUUGCUCCCCACAGUGGGUUUUACGUGGAUUUCUCAUGCCUGAACUCAUCCAUCCUUCCCUGCAAGCUCAUGGCAGGAGUUUCACAUCCCGGUUCUGUCCAAGGACGUUCAUAUCCAUGAGAAAACCUCUCCUUUACUCCUUCCUCCCGUACUUUGAUGACCUCUGGCUCUCCCUUUGGAUCAGGCACUGAAUUACCAAUUCCUGGGCGGUUUUCCCAUGUUUUUCCCAAUCCUUGCUGGGCAGCAGGACGGAUGUCCUUGGUGUGAAGGGGGCUCAGGGGUGGGAAUAAUGGGAUCAAGGCCUGUCCCUGGGCAAAGCCCGAUCAUUCUGUGAGGGUUCAUCAGAAAUUCCACAAGAAUCAGGGCUGGAAUUGUCCCUGAGACAUCCUGGAAUGGCCAGAGCAGCAGGAAUGCGCUCCUGCCCCGCGGGCAGCCAGAGGAGGUGUUAAUUCUCUCCUCAAACAGGUUUAUUAUGGAACAAGAUGUCCCAAAGCCCCUUCCAGGCAUCCACAGGGACCGGCACAAACCCCGACACAAAUCCCAACACAAAUCCCUCUUUGUGUGACCAGGAGCUGCUUUUCCAAAAUAUCCCCCCCAGGAGCCCCUAUCCCUGGGAAUGUGUUCUUGGACCUCUCUUUGCAUUUCUAGGAGCUUUUCCUGGUGCCACAAAUCCCUCUGGGAGCACAGCUGGGAUCUGCCGGGAUCAGAGUCGGAGGCACCAUGGAGGAAAAGCCACACUGAGGUUCCAUUCAUCCUGCUCCAGAGGCCUGGGAAUGUGCAGGAUUUUAGGGAAAGGACGUUGUUUUCCUUCCAGAGGCUGCUGAUAAACACUGGCAGCUCAUUGCCAGGGCUGAGCCAGCAAAGAGCUGGCACCUCUGGAUGUGCGGCAGGAAAGCUUUGGGAUCUGAGGGAAAAGGCUUGGGGGAAAGCUGGGAAAGCCGGAGUGGCUGGGAAAGGGCUGGAAUUACAUCCCAGACAGGGAUGGGACACGGGGAGAAGCCACUCAAGGGUUUGUGGUGGCCACGAAGGUUUGGCUGGUACAGUCAGAGCACAAAUAAAAUCGGAACAUUCCUGGA